RNAcentral lists this long non-coding RNA (252 nucleotides) under Bos taurus (domestic cattle). RNAcentral's name for it is "long non-coding RNA NONBTAT009180". The record is from RNAcentral. Lineage: Eukaryota; Metazoa; Chordata; Mammalia; Artiodactyla; Bovidae.
AAAUAGAAAUCUUGAGGGAAAUGUUGGCCUACAACAUCAGUGUAACAUAUUUUCAUUCCGUCCUUCUCAGAAUACCUUGUAAAGAAUGGAGAGAUGUAGACAUGGUUUGACAGAAACAAUUAACAAAAGGAAAAUGUUAGGCAUGGUCAUCUCAGGAAAGAAUGUUACUCUUGGAAUUUUUAUAGGCCAAAGGGAAUCAUAAAUAUUAUCUGAAAGGCAUACAUAAGAUGACCAAGAAUAAAAUUAUUCCUC